RNAcentral lists this unclassified non-coding RNA (366 nucleotides) under soil metagenome. Its description in RNAcentral is "partial contains small subunit ribosomal RNA, internal transcribed spacer 1, and 5.8S ribosomal RNA". The record is from RNAcentral.
UAUCCGUAGGUGAACCUGCGGAUGGAUCAUUGAAAGAGAGAACAAAGCGAUGUGACUCACCUCACGUCGCUUUGUGACAUCUUCCAACCCUUUUCGUGAAUUCGUUUUCUCUUAUAACGGAGAGAUGAGCUGAUGUGUGUGUGAGUGUGAGCUCGGAAGAGUUCCCUUCCCCAUCAACUGCCCGGGAGCAGAGCUUUCUCUGCUCCCCUCUCUCCACUUUUUUUUUACCUCAAAAUAUUUACAAACUCUUUGUACUGAUUUUGAUGUACGAUCAAAAUGAGCGUCUGUUCGUACAGUCGUUCAUUUUGUUUUGCUAAAAACAAAACGUUUUAUGCACAACUCUUAGCAACGGAUAUCUUGGCUCCU